AUGCACGCUGGCGGCGUGCCUAAUACAUGCAAGUCGAGCGAACAGACGAGGAGCUUGCUCCUCUGACGUUAGCGGCGGACGGGUGAGUAACACGUGGAUAACCUACCUAUAAGACUGGGAUAACUUCGGGAAACCGGAGCUAAUACCGGAUAAUAUAUUGAACCGCAUGGUUCAAUAGUGAAAGACGGUUUUCUGUCACUUAUAGAUGGAUCCGCGCCGCAUUAGCUAGUUGGUAAGGUAACGGCUUACCAAGGCAACGAUGCGUAGCCGACCUGAGAGGGUGAUCGGCCACACUGGAACUGAGACACGGUCCAGACUCCUACGGGAGGCAGCAGUAGGGAAUCUUCCGCAAUGGGCGAAAGCCUGACGGAGCAACGCCGCGUGAGUGAUGAAGGUCUUCGGAUCGUAAAACUCUGUUAUUAGGGAAGAACAAAUGUGUAAGUAACUAUGCACGUCUUGACGGUACCUAAUCAGAAAGCCACGGCUAACUACGUG
This 495-nucleotide ribosomal RNA is filed under the name uncultured bacterium. Its description in RNAcentral is "partial 16S ribosomal RNA". It matches the Rfam family "Bacterial small subunit ribosomal RNA", at positions 29 to 507 of the family's 1533-position model. The record is from RNAcentral.